CAGCCGCCGCAGUAAUACGUAGGGUGCGAGCGUUAAUCGGAUUUACUGGGCGUAAAGCGUGCGCAGGCGGCCCGUUAAGACAGGUGUGAAAUCCCUGGGCUCAACCUAGGAAUUGCGCUUGUGACUGGCGGGCUCGAGUACGGUAGAGGGGGGUGGAAUUCCUGGUGUAGCAGUGAAAUGCGUAGAGAUCAGGAGGAACACCGAUGGCGAAGGCAGCCCCCUGGGCCUGUACUGACGCUCAUGCACGAAAGCGGGGGGAGCAAACAGGAUUAGAUACCCUGGUAGUCCACGCCCUAAACGAUGGGUACUAGCCGUUUGGUGCGCGAUAGCGCUGAGUGGCGAAGCUAACGCGUGAAGUACCCCGCCUGGGGAGUACGGCCGCAAGGUUGAAACUUAAAGGAAUUGGCGGG
This 410-nucleotide ribosomal RNA is filed under the name uncultured microorganism. RNAcentral's name for it is "bacterial SSU rRNA". It matches the Rfam family "Bacterial small subunit ribosomal RNA", at positions 509 to 917 of the family's 1533-position model. The record is from RNAcentral.